AGUUAAAAAGCUCGUAGUUGGAUUUCUGGCAGGAGCGGCGGGUCGCGCACUCUGUGCGUGAACUUGGUUGUCUCUGGCCAUCCUUGGGGAGAUCCUGUUUGGCAUUAAGUUGUCGGGCAGGGGAUACCCAUCGUUUACUGUGAAAAAAUUAGAGUGUUUAAAGCAGGCUUAUGCCGUUGAAUAUAUUAGCAUGGAAUAAUAAGAUAGGACUUUGGAACUAUUUUGUUGGUUUGCGUUACAAAGUAAUGAUUAAYAGGGACAGUUGGGGGUAUUCGUAUUUCGUUGUCAGAGGUGAAAUUCUUGGAUUUCCGAAAGACGAACUACUGCGAAAGCAUUUACC
RNAcentral lists this ribosomal RNA (340 nucleotides) under Discostella sp. RNAcentral describes it as "SSU rRNA". Lineage: Eukaryota; Bacillariophyta; Thalassiosirophyceae; Thalassiosirales; Thalassiosiraceae. The record is from RNAcentral.